GCAUAUUAAUCAGCGGAGGAAAAGAAACUAACAAGGAUUCCCCUAGUAACUGCGAGUGAAGAGGGAUUAGCUCAAUGUGUGA
Molecule: ribosomal RNA, 82 nt
Filed under: uncultured Tulasnella
Lineage: Eukaryota; Fungi; Basidiomycota; Agaricomycetes; Cantharellales; Tulasnellaceae
Description: partial 28S ribosomal RNA
Rfam family: Eukaryotic large subunit ribosomal RNA
Source: RNAcentral